GUAGGUGGCAAGCGUUGUCCGGGAAUUAUUGGGGCGUAAAGCGCGCGCAGGCGGUUCUUUAAGUCUGAUGUGAAAGCCCACGGGCUCAACCGUGGAGGGUCAUUGGAAACUGGAGAACUGAGUACAGAAGAGGAAAGCGGAAUUCCACGUGUAGCGGUGGAAUGCGUAGAGAUGUGGAGGAACACCAGUGGCGAAGGCGGCUUUCUGGUCUGUAACUGACGCUGAGGCGCGAAAGCGUGGGGAGCAAACAGGAUUAGAUACCCUGGUAGUCCACGCCGUAAACGAUGAGUGCUAAGUGUUAGGGGGUUUCCGCCCCUUAGUGCUGCAGCUAACGCAUUAAGCACUCCGCAUGGGGAGUACGGCCGCAAAGGCUG
RNAcentral lists this ribosomal RNA (374 nucleotides) under uncultured organism. Its description in RNAcentral is "partial 16S ribosomal RNA". It matches the Rfam family "Bacterial small subunit ribosomal RNA", at positions 527 to 896 of the family's 1533-position model. The record is from RNAcentral.